Long non-coding RNA from Ochotona curzoniae (black-lipped pika), 99 nucleotides. RefSeq lists it as uncharacterized. The record is from RefSeq and is a predicted model, not a curated record. Lineage: Eukaryota; Metazoa; Chordata; Mammalia; Lagomorpha; Ochotonidae. The transcript is spliced from 3 exons.
UAAUUUGUUUUAGCAUUUCUGAGAUGCUGUUGAUUUCGUUGUUCCAUGGAUGAGGAAACUCCUCCCAAGGUCCAUCGGCUGACAAUAGUCCAUCCCAGA